UAUCCCACUUCUAACAAAAUAUUGUAUUAGAUUUAGAAUCUAAUUAUCCCUUU
Molecule: transfer RNA, 53 nt
Filed under: Loxosceles imazighen
Lineage: Eukaryota; Metazoa; Arthropoda; Arachnida; Araneae; Sicariidae
Description: tRNA-Leu
Source: RNAcentral